RNAcentral lists this long non-coding RNA (1164 nucleotides) under Homo sapiens (human). RNAcentral's name for it is "HSALNT0354345". Lineage: Eukaryota; Metazoa; Chordata; Mammalia; Primates; Hominidae. The record is from RNAcentral.
GCCCUUUCAUCUCCAGCGCUGGGCCCUUUCAUCUCCAGCACUGGGCCUUUACAUCUCCAGCGCUGGACCUUUACUUGUCCAGCACUGGGCCUUUACAUCUCCAGUGCUGGGCCCUUACAUCUCCAGAGCUGGGCCCUUUCAUCUCCAGCGCUGGGCCCUUUCAUCUCCAGCGCCGGGCCCUUAACAUCUCCAGCGCCGGGCCCUUUCAUCUCCAGCGCCGGGCCCUUACAUCUCCAGCGCCGGGCCCUUAACAUCUCCAGCGCCGGGCUCUUUCAUCUCCAGCGCCGGGCCCUUACAUCUCCAGCGCCGGGCCCUUACAUCUCCAGCGCCGGGCCCUUUCAUCUCCAGCGCCGGGCCCUUUCAUCUCCAGCGCCGGGCCCUUAACAUCUCCAGCGCCGGGCCCUUUCAUCUCCAGCGCCGGGCCCUUAACAUCUCCAGCGCCGGGCCCUUAACAUCUCCAGCGCCGGGCCCUUAACAUCUCCAGCGCCGGGCCCUUAACAUCUCCAGCGCCGGGCCCUUUCAUCUCCAGCGCCGGGCCUUUACAUCUCCAGCGCCGGGCCUUUACAUCUCCAGAGCUGGGCCUUUACAUCUCCAGGGCUGGGCCCUUAAAUCUCCAGCACUGGGCCUUUAUAUCUCCAGCGCUGGGCCCUUCACAACUCCAGCGCUGGGCCCUUCACAUCUCCAGCGCUGGGCCCUUCACGUCUCCAGCGCUGGGUCCUUCACAUCUCCAGCACUGGGCCUUCACAUCUCCAGGGCUGGGCCCUUAAAUCUCCAGCACUGGGCCUUUAUAUCUCCAGCAGCAAUAUAAAGCCGAGGACCCAGCAAGUGUUCACCUCUGGAGAAUUUGAUGAAUUCUAUGCAUCUGAAAGGCCUCCGAUGCUUAAGACCUUUUUUUUCUUUUCAAGUCUCGAACAUUUAUUGAACACGUAUAUGUGCCAAGCGCUAUUCUCAAACUGCCCCAUGAGGAAUGGACCACAGAGCUCCAUUUUACAGAUGGGGAAACUGAGAUGGGAGGAUGAGCCUGAGACCACACAGGAAGCAAAGCCUACAGCUUCCAAGAUGAAGCAUGGAAUUCCAGACUGAGGGGCUUUACAAGUUCAUCUCUCUCCCUACAUCCAACUCAGUCUGCUCCUACAACAGAUCCCACUGCCAGAGAGACAGUAA